UUGCUCUCAUUUCUCUUGUCAUGUGUAAAUCUUUCCCUUUUUGCUAAAGAUUUCCAUGGAGAGGAUCAUUAAUGAGCUUGAUGUAUUUUUAUGAGUUUUGCUCUGGUAAAGCU
This is a small nuclear RNA of Hemibagrus wyckioides, 113 nucleotides long. RefSeq annotates it as U5 spliceosomal RNA. The transcript has a single exon. Lineage: Eukaryota; Metazoa; Chordata; Actinopteri; Siluriformes; Bagridae. The record is from RefSeq and is a predicted model, not a curated record.